RNAcentral lists this ribosomal RNA (326 nucleotides) under uncultured eukaryote. Its description in RNAcentral is "partial 18S ribosomal RNA". It matches the Rfam family "Eukaryotic small subunit ribosomal RNA", at positions 1470 to 1796 of the family's 1831-position model. The record is from RNAcentral.
CCCUUAGAUGUUCUGGGCCGCACGCGCGCUACACUGAUGCAUUCAACGAGUCCAACCUUGACCGAGAGGUCCGGGUAAUCUUUGAAACUGCAUCGUGAUGGGGCUAGAUUAUUGCAAUUAUUAAUCUUCAACGAGGAAUGUCUAGUAAGCGUGAUUCAUCAAAUCGCGUUGAUUACGUCCCUGCCCUUUGUACACACCGCCCGUCGCUCCUACCGAUUGAGUGUGUUGGUGAGGAGUUUGGAUUGGCCUCGGAAGGUGGUUCGCCACCGUCCGUAGCUGAGAAGUUCUCCAAACCGCCCCACUUAGAGGAAGGAGAAGUCGUAACA